This 76-nucleotide transfer RNA is filed under the name Verrucosispora sp. WMMC514. Its description in RNAcentral is "tRNA-His". It matches the Rfam family "tRNA". Rfam says of the family: Transfer RNA (tRNA) molecules are approximately 80 nucleotides in length. Their secondary structure includes four short double-helical elements and three loops (D, anti-codon, and T loops). Lineage: Bacteria; Bacillati; Actinomycetota; Actinomycetes; Micromonosporales; Micromonosporaceae. The record is from RNAcentral.
GUGGCAGAGGCCCAGAGGUCGGGCGCCGGAUUGUGGCUCCGGAGGUCGGUGGGUUCGAUUCCCCCCUGCUACCCCA